Molecule: ribosomal RNA, 253 nt
Filed under: uncultured bacterium
Lineage: Bacteria
Description: partial 16S ribosomal RNA
Rfam family: Bacterial small subunit ribosomal RNA
Source: RNAcentral
UACGUAGGGGGCUAGCGUUGCCCGGAUUUAUUGGGCGUAAAGAGCGUGUAGGCGGCCAGGUAGGUCUGCUGUGAAAACUCGAGGCUCAACCUCGAGAUGUCGGCGGAAACCAUCUGGCUAGAGUCCGGAAGAGGAAAGUGGAAUUCCUGGUGUAGCGGUGAAAUGCGCAGAUAUCAGGAAGAACACCCGUGGCGAAGGCGGCUUUCUGGGACGGUACUGACGCUGAGACGCGAAAGCGUGGGGAGCGAACAGG